This 460-nucleotide ribosomal RNA is filed under the name uncultured bacterium. RNAcentral's name for it is "partial 16S ribosomal RNA". It matches the Rfam family "Bacterial small subunit ribosomal RNA", at positions 338 to 795 of the family's 1533-position model. The record is from RNAcentral.
CCUACGGGCGGCAGCAGUGAGGAAUAUUGGUCAAUGGGCGCUAGCCUGAACCAGCCAAGUAGCGUGAAGGAUGACUGCCCUAUGGGUUGUAAACUUCUUUUAUAUGGGAAUAAAGUGCAGUAUGUAUACUGCUUUGCAUGUACCUUAUGAAUAAGGAUCGGCUAACUCCGUGCCAGCAGCCGCGGUAAUACGGAGGAUUCGAGCGUUAUCCGGAUUUAUUGGGUUUAAAGGGAGCGUAGGCGGGUUGUUAAGUCAGUUGUGAAAGUUUGCGGCUCAACCGUAAAAUUGCAGUUGAUACUGGCAGCCUUGAGUACAGUAGAGGUAGGCGGAAGUCGUGGUGUAGCGGUGAAAUGCUUAGAUAUCACGAAGAACUCCGAUUGCGAAGGCAGCCUGCUGGACUGUAACUGACGCUGAUGCUCGAAAGUGUGGGUAUCAAACAGGAUUAGAGACCCUUGUAGUC